This 162-nucleotide ribosomal RNA is filed under the name Heracleum alpinum. RNAcentral describes it as "5.8S ribosomal RNA". It matches the Rfam family "5.8S ribosomal RNA". Rfam says of the family: 5.8S ribosomal RNA (5.8S rRNA) is a component of the large subunit of the eukaryotic ribosome. It is transcribed by RNA polymerase I as part of the 45S precursor that also contains 18S and 28S rRNA. The record is from RNAcentral. Lineage: Eukaryota; Viridiplantae; Streptophyta; Magnoliopsida; Apiales; Apiaceae. RNAcentral also lists the same sequence under 3 other names.
AACGACUCUCGACAACGGAUAUCUCGGCUCUCGCAUCGAUGAAGAACGUAGCGAAAUGCGAUACUUGGUGUGAAUUGCAGAAUCCCGUGAACCAUCGAGUCUUUGAACGCAAGUUGCGCCCGAAGCCAUUAGGCUGAGGGCACGUCUGCCUGGGUGUCACAC